RNAcentral lists this ribosomal RNA (472 nucleotides) under uncultured bacterium. RNAcentral's name for it is "bacterial SSU rRNA". It matches the Rfam family "Bacterial small subunit ribosomal RNA", at positions 355 to 825 of the family's 1533-position model. The record is from RNAcentral.
UGGGGAAUAUUGGACAAUGGGCGAAAGCCUGAUCCAGCCAUGCCGCGUGUGUGAAGAAGGUCUUCGGAUUGUAAAGCACUUUAAGUUGGGAGGAAGGGCAGUUACCUAAUACGUAUCUGUUUUGACGUUACCGACAGAAUAAGCACCGGCUAACUCUGUGCCAGCAGCCGCGGUAAUACAGAGGGUGCAAGCGUUAAUCGGAAUUACUGGGCGUAAAGCGCGCGUAGGUGGUUUGUUAAGUUGGAUGUGAAAUCCCCGGGCUCAACCUGGGAACUGCAUUCAAAACUGACAAGCUAGAGUACGGUAGAGGGUGGUGGAAUUUCCUGUGUAGCGGUGAAAUGCGUAGAUAUAGGAAGGAACACCAGUGGCGAAGGCGACCACCUGGACUGAUACUGACACUGAGGUGCGAAAGCGUGGGGAGCAAACAGGAUUAGAUACCCCGGUAGUCCCUGAGCGGGCUGGCAAGGCGCAU